GAUGAACGCUGGCGGCGUGCUUAACACAUGCAAGUCGAACGGAGAAAGGGUAGCUUGCUAUCUUUUCUUAGUGGCGGACGGGUGAGUAACGCGUGGGUAACCUGCCCUUUGCAGGGGGAUAACAGUGAGAAAUCACUGCUAAUACCGCAUACCAACUUCUUUCGCAUGAAAGAAGUUUGAAAGAUUUAUCGGCAAAGGAUGGACCCGCGUUGGAUUAGCUAGUUGGUGAGAUAACAGCCCACCAAGGCAACGAUCCAUAGCCGGCCUGAGAGGGUGAACGGCCACACUGGGACUGAGACACGGCCCAGACUCCUACGGGAGGCAGCAGUGGGGAAUAUUGCACAAUGGGCGAAAGCCUGAUGCAGCGACGCCGCGUGAAGGAUGAAGGUCUUCGGAUUGUAAACUUCUAUCAGCAGGGAAGAAAGGGCCUAUGGCCUAUGACGGUACCUGACUAAGAAGCCCGGCUAACUACGUGCCAGCAGCCGCGGUAAAAGUGU
Molecule: ribosomal RNA, 497 nt
Filed under: uncultured bacterium
Lineage: Bacteria
Description: bacterial SSU rRNA
Rfam family: Bacterial small subunit ribosomal RNA
Source: RNAcentral